UGGUUGGGGUUUAACAUCGGUGAAUGGCCGCGUGGGAUGGAAGAAGUCGUCGAUGGUUGUAUGGAAGGGGGAAGAGAUGGAAAUGGUUUUGUUUUCUCUUUUUUGUUUAGUUUUUAUGAUCGGAGGAGAAGACCAAUUUCAAAUCACCCUUUCCUCUUUUUUUUUGCUUCUUUUUCCUUUUCAUUCUUUAUGCUCUCUCUUUCCUCCAUUUAACCGUUAGACCAUACAUAGG
This 232-nucleotide long non-coding RNA is filed under the name Lathyrus oleraceus (garden pea). RNAcentral's name for it is "Pisum sativum (pea) long non-coding RNA (PSAT_LNC029804)". Lineage: Eukaryota; Viridiplantae; Streptophyta; Magnoliopsida; Fabales; Fabaceae. The record is from RNAcentral.